This 817-nucleotide ribosomal RNA is filed under the name uncultured Sebacinales. RNAcentral's name for it is "eukaryotic LSU rRNA". The stretch from base 574 to 817 matches the Rfam family "Eukaryotic large subunit ribosomal RNA", at positions 1 to 240 of the family's 3401-position model. Lineage: Eukaryota; Fungi; Basidiomycota; Agaricomycetes; Sebacinales. The record is from RNAcentral.
UUAAUGAAAUGAUAAGUCGGCCUUCUGUGCUGGUGGCAACACAUGUGCAYGUUGGUCGCAAAUCCACACACCUGUGCACCUUUGACUUUGGGACCUGCUUGCUUUUUUGCAUGCRGCUGGUCUACACUGCUGUYGACCUGGGUCUUAAAGUAUUUUCACACACUCUUAAUGUAAUGGAAUGUCUCUGUGCUUAAUGCGCAAAUMUACAACUUUCAACAACGGAUCUCUUGGCUCUCGCACCGAUGAAGAACGCAGCGAAAUGCGAUAAGUAAUGUGAAUUGCAGAAUCCAGUGAAUCAUCGAAUCUUUGAACGCACCUUGCACCCUGUGGUAUUCCAGAGGGUACACCCGUUUGAGUGUCAUUGUAAUAUCACUUCACCAGGCUUUUGACUGGYGGAGGUGGACCUGGGCCCUGCCAUGUUAUUAUGGCUGGUCUAAAAAACAUGAGUGCAACCUGCUGUUUGCAGCGUCUUCAGUGUGAUAAUUAUCUUCAUUGAACAAAGUUCCCUCAAGGGACACGCUUUCUUAGCAGGCUCUGUGCUUUCAAACCGUCCUUGGACACUUUUUGACAACUUGACCUCAAAUCGGGUGGGACUACCCGCUGAACUUAAGCAUAUCAAUAAGCGGAGGAAAAGAAACUAACAAGGAUUCCCUUAGUAACGGCGAGUGAAGAGGGAAAAGCUCAAAUUUUAAAUCUGGCGUCUUCGGCGUCCGAGUUGUAAUCUAGAGAAGUGUUUUCGGCCUCGGACCACACAUAAAUUCCCUGGAAUGGGGUGUCAUAGAGGGUGAGAAUCCCGUUUGUGGUGUGGACUGCCUUG